This is an RNA transcript of Sesamum indicum (sesame), 2212 nucleotides long. It is a transcript of the gene named mRNA-decapping enzyme-like protein, with no coding region annotated. Lineage: Eukaryota; Viridiplantae; Streptophyta; Magnoliopsida; Lamiales; Pedaliaceae. The record is from RefSeq and is a predicted model, not a curated record.
AUAUAUAUAGUGAGGGGGAGAGAGAGGGGUCCAUCAAUGUUAGCAACUUCCAGAUGAUGAAUAAGUAUUGAAAGCAGAGGGGCGAGUGUGCUGUUAUUUCUACUGAAUAAUAAUUUAGUAGGGGUUUCUCUCUCUCUACAUACACAUACACUACUCAAUAAUAGAGAGAGAUUAGAGAGAUAUAUACAUACAGCGGGAAGGGAGAAAAGUGGCCAAACGAGAUGACGCAGAACGGGAAAUUGAUGCCCAAUCUGGAUGAGAAGACUACCAAGGUGCUGAAUUUGACGGUCCUGCAGCGAAUCGAUCCCUUCGUGGAGGAAAUUCUCAUUACUGCCGCUCAUGUCACCUUCUACGAGUUUAACAUCGACACUAGCCAAUGGAGUCGGAAGGAUGUGGAGGGUUCCCUUUUUGUUGUGAAAAGGACUACACAACCGCGGUUCCAGUUUAUAGUAAUGAAUCGUCGGAACACUGAUAAUCUGGUGGAGAAUCUCUUGGGAGAUUUUGAGUAUGAAGUGCAAGUUCCGUAUUUAUUAUAUCGAAAUGCGUCUCAGGAGGUAAAUGGAAUAUGGUUCUACAAUGCACGUGAAUGUGAAGAGGUUGCAAAUCUAUUUAGCAGGAUACUUAAUGCAUAUUCAAAGGUGCCCACGAAGUCAAAAGUAUCUUCCACCAAAAGCGAGUUUGAAGAACUUGAAGCAGUUCCAACACUUGCGGUAAUGGAUGGUCCUCUAGAGCCACCAUCUUCUGCUACCCCUAACGUCGCAGAUGUUCCUGAUGAUCCUUCCUUUGUGAACUUCUUCAGUACUGCAAUGAAUAUUGGAGGUGCUCCAGAUGCAGCAAUUUCUGCUCAGCCUUACCACUCCUCUGGAACUGUUAUUUCUACUUCUCGUCAACAAAAUGUUGGUUUGCCCACGUUAGCAUCUGCCCAGAAACCAUCUAAUAUAUCUGCUUCUACCCCUCUAAUAUCUAUCCUUGACAGCACUGAACCCAAUGCUAUAGCAAAGCAUUCAACUGAUCUGGUAAAGCCAUCAUCCUUUUUUGGGCCACCUCCUUCCUCAGCUCCUCUGAUUAUGCCUUCCAUAUCAUCAUCUAUGCCAACUGCACCUCCGCUAAAUCCUCCUGGAAAUCUACACAGACCUUAUGGUGCACCUUUACUUCAGCCAUUUCCACCACCAACACCUCCACCAUCACUCACUCCGACUUCAGUCCCUACACCAAAUUAUGGGCCAGCUAUCAGCAGAGAAAAAGUCCGGGAAGCAAUUCAAAUGCUCGUUCAGGACAAUCAAUUCGUCGACUUGGUUUACCGAGCAGUGUUGAAUGCACACCAGUCAUGAGAAGAAUAUAGCUGGUCAUGUUUCCAUCUCCUGCCUUUCCUCUCAUAAGAGGGGACUUCGUUGAAGGAUACGGGAGAAAUCAACUCCUGCUGAUCGAUGAUGUAGUUUCUUGAAGUUCGGAUCUUGUUUUUGUCUCCAAUAUCUUUGGUUUCUGGGUUUUGGUGUUCCGACCCUUAUGAACUGGACGAAAUACAAGUGGCUAGAAGAUUAGGUAUAUGCUAUUGCAAGAAAAAAUCAAUUUGCCCUUUAAAGGCUGGGAUACAGAACCCACCAAAUUUAGGUUGGAUGGUAAUGAACGAUGACAGUUUCAAAAUGGAUAGGGGAAGGGAAUGGCCCCUCAUGCCAUAAGUAAAGUCCAAAGCGGAAUGGCCCCUCACGUCAAGAGAACUUGAUACAAGAGUUUACUAACUACAAUGAGUCAUGAGCACCAAGGGCACUGGUACGAUGAGAAAUUUGUGCACUAUCUUGAAAAAACAUUGAGAGUUUUUGAGAUUUCUUAGUGCAUGGUCCUGUUUUUUAAAAUAAGGCAGGCACUGAUUUGAUGAAAGGUAAAUUGGUCAAUCCAUAGCAAGUCAAAAACAUGGAAAUCUGAGUUUACUAAAGGUCAUCUCCUUUUGAUAUCACAGCCAAAUUUGGAUGGACAUCAAGACAAUCCUGACUAUAGUAUCUAUCAUGUUAGAAUUCCCUUUCAGUAUUGAACUGCAGCGGGAGCUCUAUAUUCGUUGGGGUAAGGAGCAGCGGAAAGAUUACAAGAUCAAGCAAAAUUUUUCUGCCAGCUAAUCUGUCCCCUAAAACUAACACUUGAAGGGUGGAAAACAAGUGCUUUGUGAGCCUACCGUAGAUAGGGACCAUUGCAGGUGUUAUCCAAGAUUCAUGUCACA